CGCGCAGGCGCCUGGGAGCCCAUUCAUUCGAACUGCGUAACAAUGAGCCCCGGGGCCCAGCGGCCUCCUCAACCGAAACUUUCCUACUUACCAAACCCGUCGCCAUUACCAAGUCUUUCAAGCUUCGUCUUCCCCCUCCCCUCAACCCCCUGGGGGCAGUCUUGAUAGUAAACAAGAGUCAUAGGGACACGUGUAUCAGCUCGUUUGUUUUGGUGUCUGGGACAAAAGGGAGGGGGCGGAGGAAGGGA
This 248-nucleotide long non-coding RNA is filed under the name Homo sapiens (human). RNAcentral describes it as "HSALNT0127069". Lineage: Eukaryota; Metazoa; Chordata; Mammalia; Primates; Hominidae. The record is from RNAcentral.